Molecule: ribosomal RNA, 172 nt
Filed under: uncultured Thermoflavimicrobium sp.
Lineage: Bacteria; Bacillati; Bacillota; Bacilli; Caryophanales; Thermoactinomycetaceae
Description: partial 16S ribosomal RNA
Rfam family: Bacterial small subunit ribosomal RNA
Source: RNAcentral
CCUACGGGAGGCAGCAGUAGGGAAUUUUCCGCAAUGGGCGAAAGCCUGACGGAGCAACGCCGCGUGAGUGAAGACGGCCUUCGGGUUGUAAAACUCUGUUCUUGGGGAAGAAGAAAGUGACGGUACCCAAGGAGAAAGCCCCGGCUAACUACGUGCCAGCAGCCGCGGUAAU